GCGGAAGUAGUUCAGUGGUAGAACAUCACCUUGCCAUGGUGGGGGUCGCGCGUUCGAAUCCCGUCUUCCGCU
RNAcentral lists this transfer RNA (72 nucleotides) under Limosilactobacillus gastricus. RNAcentral's name for it is "Lactobacillus gastricus tRNA-Gly". It matches the Rfam family "tRNA". Rfam says of the family: Transfer RNA (tRNA) molecules are approximately 80 nucleotides in length. Their secondary structure includes four short double-helical elements and three loops (D, anti-codon, and T loops). Further hydrogen bonds mediate the characteristic L-shaped molecular structure. tRNAs have two regions of fundamental functional importance: the anti-codon, which is responsible for specific mRNA codon recognition, and the 3' end, to which the tRNAs corresponding amino acid is attached (by aminoacyl-tRNA synthetases). tRNAs cope with the degeneracy of the genetic code in two manners: having more than one tRNA (with a specific anti-codon) for a particular amino acid; and 'wobble' base-pairing, i.e. permitting non-standard base-pairing at the 3rd anti-codon position. The record is from RNAcentral. Lineage: Bacteria; Bacillati; Bacillota; Bacilli; Lactobacillales; Lactobacillaceae.